CCUUCCUUCUUAUUCUGCAAAUGUAUGAGAGAAGCAGAAGUGCUCUCUCUCUCACCCUCCCUCCCUCUUAUUCUCCUUGCCUCUUCCUUCAUCCUGCACUAGCUAGAGAAAUCAGAGACUUCAGAGCUGUCCAGGAGUACUCCGGGAGUCCUCCUGCCCUGGGACUGCGUCUCCUGUCUCCCCACCAGCCUACACUUUAAUGGCCUUGACCUGCCUGAAGAGGGGGAGCCGACACACUCUACACUCCACAGCCACAGAGAGCUCCGCAUUUGGGGAGAUAGCUGCUGUUUGUCCUCCAGCCAUCCCUCUUCUGCCUCUCCUCUCCUCUCCUGUAGACUCCUCACUCACUCCUCGGUCUCUGUGUCCAUGCUCGUCUGAGCAUCCCCUCCUCUCCCUGCCUCGUGGUGACCUCUGACCUCAGAAGGAGAGGGCAGAGCAGGAAGCUCCACAGGGGGCAGGCAGACAGGAGUGCACUUAGAUGGAAGAGUGAGUUGCCGGGGGAUCAGUUUGGUUAUGAGUGCCCGUUCCGGGGUUAUGAUGCAGAUCCUUAGCAGCCUGCAGAAGUCAGGCAGGCUGAAGAUGAUGACUGUGGUCAGGACCUCCCUCCGGAAGGUAGUGGUCUUCUUACAUCGUCUGCAAAGGAUGGCCAUCUCCUCCCCUCGCUACCACAAACUGUACAAGGAUAUCCAGGCGGAAAUUGAUGCUCACAAUGACAUCUUCAGGAGUAUGGAUGGUAAUGUGGUGAAGACAGCGCAGUUGCCAGGCGGUUGGGAAGCAGUCAGGUCGUUGAGCAGCUCCGAGGAGGUCGUCGGCCUGCAGCAGAGGCCCAGAGAGAUGAGCCAUGGCUGGGCAGAGCCAGGGUCUAAGACUGUCAGUUUCAGGGUGCACCUGGAGGCCAGGGCAGAGAGGCGAGGUUGGGUGCUGGGUAUGCUGGAGGACCUGAGAAGGUGGCUGAGUCUGAAAGAGGAAGAGUUCAUCAGCCAUGGGCCCAUCAGUGGGGAAGUUCCCGCCCUGUUGCAACAGCACAGCCUCUGUACGGCACUGCAGAGUGAACUGGAGGCCUGUGAGCCUCUAGUAGUCAGGGCUUUGGAUGAGGCCCACAUGUUCUCGGCUGACCCAUCCACUGAGGAGUUGGAGGAACAGCAAAAGAAUGCGGAAUCAAGAACGGACCUCCCGGCCGAGGAGACGGCCAGCGGCACAGCCAGUAGGGCAGUUGGAGUUAUCCACCAGCGGGCAUCGGAGGUGCGCGGCCGCUGGGAGCGCCUUGUCACCCGCGCAGGCGUCCGGCGACUACAGGCGGACGCAGCCUUGGAGAAGCUGCAGAACCUGAAUGGCAUUUUGGAAAAGCUGAGCUUGGGGCUGGGCCAGGCAGAGGAGGAGAGGGUGGGGUGGCCCUCUGUUGGAGAUCUGUGUGCAGAUUCUCUUCGGGAGCACAUUGAGAAGGCCACUGUAUUCAGGCAGAACAUGGUGCCCCUGGAGCUUCAGGUGAGGGCUGUGAACAAGCUCUCUGCCGAGCUAUCAGCCCUCUGUGUUCAGCCAUCCUCCACCACAUCCGCACAGAUCGGCAAACUCAACAAACGCUGGAACAUAUUAGAGGAAGCCACAGGGGACAGACUCAGGCAGCUGCAGAUGGCACUGCGGGAUUUUGGACCCAUUUCCCAGCAUUUCCUGUCCACUUCUGUACAACUGCCAUGGCAGAGGGCUGUGUCUCACAACGAGGUACCAUACUACAUCAACCAUGAGACCCAGAGCACCAGCUGGGACCAUCCCAAGAUGACAGAACUCCUCCAUUCUCUUGCUGAUUUGAAUGGCGUGAGGUUCUCAGCCUACAGAACUGCCAUGAAGAGCCGUAGGCUGCAGAAGGCUUUGUGCUUGGAUUUGCUGGGGCUCAGCAUGGCUGAGAAGAUCUUUGAGCAGUAUGGACUCACGUUGAACAACCAGCUUCUGAGUGUGCCUGACGUCGCCCACUGUCUGACCUCCAUAUACGACCUGCUGGAGUGGAACCACAAGGACCUGGUCAAUGUGCCCCUGUGUGUGGACUUGUGCCUCAACUGGCUCCUCAACCUCUAUGACAUAGGCCGAAGUGGGAAGAUUCGCGCACGUUCUGUGAAGAUCGCCGUACUCUCUCUGUCUAAUGGUCAUCUGGAGGACAAAUAUAAAUAUCUGUUCCGACAGGUGGCAGCGCCAGCAGACACUUGUGACCCUGGAGGGCUGGGCCUGCUGCUCCACGAUGUUCUUCAGAUCCCGAGGCAGCUCGGAGAGGCCACUGCCUUUGGAGCCAGCAGCGUCCAGCCCAGCAUACACAGCUGCUUUCAACACGUGAACUGCAGGGCAGAGCUGGACCUGGGGCACUUUGUGGACUGGAUGCGCUUGGAGCCCCAGCCCGUGGUAUGGCUGCCAGUCCUGCACCGCGUAGCCGCUGCGGAGACGGCAAAACACCAGGCCAAGUGCAACAUCUGCAAGGACUGUCCCAUAGUGGGCUUCAGGUACCGCAGCCUGAAGCACUUCAACUACAAUGUCUGCCAAGCCUGCUUCUUCUCUGGACGCACCGCCAAGGGCUACAAGCUGAGCACCCCCAUGGUGGAGUACUGCACACCGACGACCUCCGGGGAAGACGUGCGUGACUUCACAAAGGUGCUGAAAAACAAAUUUCGGUCAAAGAAGUACUUUGCCAAGCAUCCUCGUCUUGGUUACCUUCCAGUUCAGAAUAUUCUGGGAGGAGGGGAGAGUUUGGAGACUCGGGUCACUCUCAUUAGCAUGUGUCCAGAGCAGUAUGAGGAUAAGGAGCAGUCCUGCACAGCCCUUGAGGAGGAGUCCAAGCCAACCCGUCCAUGGAGCCCCACACUCAUCUUGCGGGUAGAUUCCAGUCAAACCCAGAUCUCCACCCAAAUCCAGGAGGUGGAGCCAAACCAUUUCCAGAAGCCUGCCCACAUCUUGCAGAAUGGAGAGAGGGAAAAAUGCAGCAAGCUUGAGCACAUCUCUACCCAACUGGAGACGGAAAAUAGGCCUGGCCUCUUGGACCAUAGCCAGCUGCAAGCACCCCAGCCUCAACCCUACCACUUAAGACACCUCCCACAGCAGGUUUCUUAAAGGCUUUCUAGAAUGGAUUAUAUUUUGAUAUUCUAGUCGAAGCCUUAUUUGGAUGGUGAUGUCAAUGCUGUGAAGAUCUCUACUCCCAUGGUUAAAACCUUGACCUUCCCUGAAGAAAAUGCUUAGAAGAUAUGGCAAGGAAUAAUGAGGGAUUCCCCAAAGACUUAGAGACACUGAUGCAAGACCACAGGUCUUUACUUGUGUUGUUUCGUUACUAUGCAACUGUGCAUUUGUAUGCACCAUAGAGCCCAUUCAAGGCUGUUGAAACAUUAGUAAGUGAUUUGUAUGAAUCUGCUAAUGGAUGGGGUAGGCGGCUGGAGGGACUGGGUCUUGGAGAGAUUAGGUUGUAGUAAAUGCCUCUUUGGAUAUAAAUGGAAAUCCAGCUGUUUGUGACAUCCCUUGGCUUUCUGAAGAGCACAGAGCAUCUUCACCCUUGAUCAUUACCAUCACCUAUCCAUUUUGAUUUAGUGUGAGUGUAUAAAUGACUUCAUGUACCGUUAUGAUAUUGCUUUGUGAUACUGUUUCAUCCAUCACUAUGUGCUGCACAUUCCAAAGUAUGUGUUUGAGGUCUGUUUUUAUAGUAUUUGUGAUGAAGACUUGCAGCAGUUGACGUAUUGUUGCUAUAGGUUAUUCCUAAUGGGCAUACAUGUUAUACUGCAUUUUUCGCAUAGUAUUUAUUGAAAUUUAAUUUGUAUAAUGUAUUUCACAUAAGAAAGCCAUGGCUGUCUUGCUACCUCAAAGACUCUCUCAUAAGCACGACCUGGACUUUGAUUUGUCUGGAAUCAGCCAUUUCAGAAGAAUAAGGUUGCAUUCACACUGGAUGUGUUUUGUCAGCUAGAAAACUCAAGACGCACUAUCUGUUUUGAUUUUAUGAAACUUACUCAUAAAAUCAGAAGCUUGAAAAAAGUGUGGAAGCUCCUUUUUUGCUGUUAAACUCACUCUGCUCCUGUCAAUCACUUGUGUAACGUAUUUAAUGGAUUUAGCCAACUAAUUUCACCUGAAAAUAACUUGCCAUUUACAGUAUGUCAACAUAGUGCUAAUUUGUUGCAGUGCCUUGGGCCACUUAUUUUUGUCUUGGUAGUUAUGAUCUGUGAAAUUGUUCAACUUCAAGUGGCCAGAAACUGUAACGACCAACUUCUCUUUCAUCUUUAUUUAGCUACAGGGGAAGUUUAUGGCAGAAUCAAGGCCUGCCUCUUUUUUCAUGCGAUUGAGCACCAUAGAAAAGAAUGACAGUGACGCUGGGCGCCCUGGGGAUAAACGUGCGGCACCUGGCACAAUAAAGCAACACAAAAAAUGCUUAAAACUGAUUGGAAAUUAUUCUAAAAAAGGUGCCCCAGCUGUUAAAGUGUGUCUGGUGUGAACUCCAAAACAUGUCUAUUUCCCUGUGGCCCCAAUGACCUUUUCUGCGAAAAAAGAGAGAUUCAAAUUCUGUGCCAUGCUAUCAUGUAAUUAUGUGAUGUCUUAGGGUGGUGAUAAUGUGGAUGUAUUUGGAGUCAUACAGUACAUGCCAGUCACCUUGCAUCUAACAUUGCACCAUAUGUUGUUCUGAA
Anguilla anguilla (European eel) is the source of this 4640-nucleotide RNA transcript. It is a transcript of the gene named utrophin-like, with no coding region annotated. The record is from RefSeq and is a predicted model, not a curated record. NCBI's taxonomy places the organism in Eukaryota, Metazoa, Chordata, Actinopteri, Anguilliformes, Anguillidae. The transcript has 21 exons.